Molecule: non-coding RNA, 28 nt
Filed under: Mus musculus (house mouse)
Lineage: Eukaryota; Metazoa; Chordata; Mammalia; Rodentia; Muridae
Source: RNAcentral
UGCCUCUCAUGUUAACAAGUUACAUCUU